UUGGGAAUCUUAGGCAAUGGGCGAAAGCCUGACCUAGCGACGCCGCGUGAGGGAAGAAGGCCUUCGGGUCGUAAACCUCUGUCAUGGGGGACGAAGGAAGUGACGGUACCCCAAGAGGAAGCCCCUGCUAACUACGUGCCAGCAGCCGCGGUAAUACGUAGGGGGCGAGCGUUAUCCGGAAUUAUUGGGCGUAAAGGGCGAGUAGGCGGUCUGUUAAGUCAGGUGUGAAAUUUCAGGGCUCAACCCUGAAACCGCGCUUGAAACUGGCAGGCUAGAGGACAGGAGAGGGAAGUGGAAUUCCCGGUGUAGCGGUGGAAUGCGUAGAUAUCGGGAGGAACACCAGUGGCGAAGGCGGCUUCCUGGACUGUACCUGACGCUGAGGAGCGAAAGCUGGGGAGCA
Molecule: ribosomal RNA, 400 nt
Filed under: uncultured bacterium
Lineage: Bacteria
Description: bacterial SSU rRNA
Rfam family: Bacterial small subunit ribosomal RNA
Source: RNAcentral